GCACAAUGUGACUUGAAAUGUCCUGUUUUAGCAGAACGCUUUGUCAGAGGCAAUUAAAAUUAACUGGGAGACAGGCUGAGUAACUUAAAAAAAAACAAGCACGCAUACCAGCGCAAUGCGCUGAUUUUGACUGGAGCAAUGGGCUUUAUUUGAGUAAGCCUGCUUUGAGAAUGACAAUAAAUUUUCAUUACACAUUUCCUCAGUCGUUUCGUUUUCAACUGUUUACAAACUACUGCAUCUACCGAAAUCAAUAAAUGAAUACAAACAAAUGUUAUGUGUCGUCCAUGAUUAUCAACAUUUUCACAAGUGUACAGAUAGUACGUACUCUAUUUCUCGAUCCCCAUCCCUCCCUCUCAGUUCAGUGAAUCUAUAUAUCAACAUUUGGAAAAGCUUACAUGCAUGCAUUAGUAUUAAGAGGCAGUCCGUGUAAAAACCGACCACUCGAAUUUCUUAAGAUUACAGAUUUCCUUCAAACUUUCUGUGUGGAAGAAGUCAUUCAUAAAAUGAACAAAAAACGUUGUCUUGGAAAUUGUAGUCAUU
This is a non-coding RNA of Paramuricea clavata, 540 nucleotides long. The record is from the annotation of a GenBank genome assembly. NCBI's taxonomy places the organism in Eukaryota, Metazoa, Cnidaria, Anthozoa, Malacalcyonacea, Plexauridae.